Molecule: small RNA, 211 nt
Filed under: Tetrahymena thermophila
Lineage: Eukaryota; Ciliophora; Oligohymenophorea; Hymenostomatida; Tetrahymenidae
Description: TtnuUkn2
Source: RNAcentral
UCUAUUGCAAAGCUUGUAAGCAUUUAACAAUACAUAAGCUAAAAGAAUAAGUAAGCAAGAAUGUAUGCAUGCAUGAAUAUGAUCAAUCCAUAAUACUUUAGAAUACCUAACCAAAUAUUAAAGAAAUCCUUUUACAACAAAACAGGCGAUUGAUCUAAGAAUGCUCAAUUUCAUUGAUAUAAGAAUUACAAUACUUACUAUAAUAUUGAAU